CGUACACUCCUACGGGAGGCAGCAGUGGGGAAUAUUGGACAAUGGGCGCAAGCCUGAUCCAGCCAUGCCGCGUGAGUGAUGAAGGCCCUAGGGUUGUAAAGCUCUUUCACCGGUGAAGAUAAUGACGGUAACCGGAGAAGAAGCCCCGGCUAACUUCGUGCCAGCAGCCGCGGUAAUACGAAGGGGGCUAGCGUUGUUCGGAUUUACUGGGCGUAAAGCGCACGUAGGCGGACUAUUAAGUCAGGGGUGAAAUCCCGGGGCUCAACCCCGGAACUGCCUUUGAUACUGGUAGUCUUGAGUUCGAGAGAGGUGAGUGGAAUUCCGAGUGUAGAGGUGAAAUUCGUAGAUAUUCGGAGGAACACCAGUGGCGAAGGCGGCUCACUGGCUCGAUACUGACGCUGAGGUGCGAAAGCGUGGGGAGCAAACAGGAUUAGAAACCCGUGUAGUCCCAUG
RNAcentral lists this ribosomal RNA (453 nucleotides) under uncultured organism. RNAcentral's name for it is "partial 16S ribosomal RNA". It matches the Rfam family "Bacterial small subunit ribosomal RNA", at positions 330 to 799 of the family's 1533-position model. The record is from RNAcentral.